AACGAACGCUGGCGGCAUGCCUAACACAUGCAAGUCGAACGAGAUCUUCGGGUCUAGUGGCGCACGGGUGCGUAACGCGUGGGAAUCUGCCCUUUGGUUCGGAAUAACAGUUGGAAACGACUGCUAAUACCGGAUGAUGACGAAAGUCCAAAGAUUUAUCGCCAGAGGAUGAGCCCGCGUAGGAUUAGCUAGUUGGUGUGGUAAAGGCGCACCAAGGCGACGAUCCUUAGCUGGUCUGAGAGGAUGAUCAGCCACACUGGGACUGAGACACGGCCCAGACUCCUACGGGAGGCGGCAGUGGGGAAUAUCGGACAAUGGGCGAAAGCCUGAUCCAGCAAUGCCGCGUGAGUGAUGAAGGCCUUAGGGUUGUAAAGCUCUUUUACCCGGGAUGAUAAUGACAGUACCGGGAGAAUAAGCUCCGGCUAACUCCGUGCCAGCAGCCGCGGUAA
Molecule: ribosomal RNA, 449 nt
Filed under: uncultured bacterium
Lineage: Bacteria
Description: partial 16S ribosomal RNA
Rfam family: Bacterial small subunit ribosomal RNA
Source: RNAcentral